GCGGUGGGUAGGGAUCGAGGGAUAGCCGUCCUCGCUUGGCCGAAACCGGCUUCAUGCGGCGCCAGCAACCUUCGGGUAAAACCAUCUUCCUCGUCACCCGCAACGGGCAGGGAAGACGAACUCACGCCGAGGCGGGCGGCCACGAGGGGCAGUCCUCUCGAAGGAGAGGUCCUGACUCUUAAUUGCCGAACUGGGCGAGGUCCGGGAGGGAGCAGCCCUAUGGCGACGCGGCCACGCUGUCUCGUCUACGUGGGGGAUUCCCCGUCCGAUGAAAUGGGGGCGGAGAGUGAUGGUGAACUCCGGAGGGUCCGCCGC
RNAcentral lists this signal recognition particle RNA (315 nucleotides) under Nitrososphaerota archaeon. RNAcentral's name for it is "Thaumarchaeota archaeon signal recognition particle sRNA". It matches the Rfam family "Archaeal signal recognition particle RNA". The record is from RNAcentral. Lineage: Archaea; Thermoproteati; Nitrososphaerota.